Molecule: long non-coding RNA, 417 nt
Organism: Mus musculus (house mouse)
Lineage: Eukaryota; Metazoa; Chordata; Mammalia; Rodentia; Muridae
Product: predicted gene, 33980
Exons: 3
Source: RefSeq, a predicted model, not a curated record
CAUCCUCAAGUUGUUUAUAUCACAAAUGAGGAAGCUCAAACUCCAAGAGGCAGGCAGGGCAAUUGUCAAGGGCCCUAACCAAGAAGGGCUGUCAACUAAGGCCUCUGACAGUAGAAUGGACAGGAAGUCUUGUGGUGGCCGCAAGUGAUAGAUAUAUGGAGGUAGCUGCCCAUGAGAUGUGGAAGCAACAAGCCUUUCAAGAUGUCAGCAUCCCUCCAACCUCCAGCUGAGGCAGAGCCCCUUCACCACUUACAUAUGUCUGCUGGACAGGAACCUCUUAAGACCUGUUCAAGAUAACACAGCUGUGUACAAGCGGAAAAUGGAACAGUUUCGCAGCCUUGAAGAGAACCUCCUUGAAGAUGAGCAAUUUGCUUCCUUUGGAGCCUUCUGAGGGCACCACUCCCAUCUUCCCCACCA